Molecule: ribosomal RNA, 568 nt
Filed under: Trypanosoma theileri
Lineage: Eukaryota; Euglenozoa; Kinetoplastea; Trypanosomatida; Trypanosomatidae
Description: SSU rRNA
Rfam family: Eukaryotic small subunit ribosomal RNA
Source: RNAcentral
CUAAUACAUGAACCAAAGGGACGUUCUCUGUUACGGCGGUGGGGCAACUCACUGUCAUGGGGCGUCCAGCGAAUGAAUGAAAUUAAAACCAAUGCCUUCACCGGCAGUAACACCCAGAAGUGUUGACUCAAUUCAUUCCGUGCGAAAGCUGGAUUUCUUAUCCGGCGUCUUUUGACGAACAACUGCCCUAUCAGCCAGUGAUGGCCGUGUAGUGGACUGCCAUGGCGUUGACGGGAGCGGGGGAUUAGGGUUCGAUUCCGGAGAGGGAGCCUGAGAAAUAGCUACCACUUCUACGGAGGGCAGCAGGCGCGCAAAUUGCCCAAUGUCAAAAAAAAACGAUGAGGCAGCGAAAAGAAAUAGAGCCGACAGUGCCUAGUGCAUUGUCGUUUUCAAUGGGGGAUAUUUAAACCCAUCCAAAAUCGAGUAACAAUUGGAGGACAAGUCUGGUGCCAGCACCCGCGGUAAUUCCAGCUCCAAAAGCGUAUAUUAAUGCUGUUGCUGUUAAAGGGUUCGUAGUUGAAUUGAGGGCCUUUGAGGCGCAAUGGUUUGUCCCGUCCACCUCGGAUUG